AUGUUCACAAAGCAAGUUUGGAGGCUGAUUGAAAAUUAUAACUCUCUUUGUGCAAAGGUCUUGAGAUCAGGGUACUAUCCCACGGGUGAUAUUCUAAACUGUGAGUUGAAAAAGGGCUCAUCUUUCAUAUGGCAAAGUAUAUGGGCGGGAAUUCAUACUUUCAAAAAGGGUAGUAUAUGGAGAGUUGGAGAUGGAGCAAAAAUAAAUAUUUGGGAUGAUUGUUGGAUUCCGAAUAGCUCUUCAAGGAAAAUAGUGACAGUUUGGGCGAAUCAAGUGCUUACUAGAGCACAUGAAUUAAAAGACCCAGUCUCCGAGGAAUGGGAUGAACUGCUUAUCGGUGAUAACUUUUGGCCUAUUGAUGUGGACCACAUUCUCCAAAUCCCAAUCCAUCACUAGGAGACGGAAGACUACAUCGCAUGGCACAUCACGAAGAAUGGCAUUUUUACGCUCAGCACAUUAUAA
RNAcentral lists this ribosomal RNA (462 nucleotides) under Triticum aestivum (bread wheat). RNAcentral describes it as "partial small subunit ribosomal RNA". Lineage: Eukaryota; Viridiplantae; Streptophyta; Magnoliopsida; Poales; Poaceae. The record is from RNAcentral.